GAAGCUCCUUUAGUCCAGUGGUUGACGAAGGGUUGUUUAAAGCUUCUACACCAAUAGUUUGGGGUUCGACGCCCAGCUAAUGCGAUUUAUUAAUUUGCAGAUAAAGGAGAUAGCUUACAUGAGAUCUAUAACAAUGCAUAAUUAAAGCCGUUCGCCGUGAUUCUACGCAUGGAGAAAGAGGUGUCGUCAGAAAAAUGUGUAAUCCGUGGUGAAUCUAACAGGGUCGGACAGAAUUGUCGUUAGUAGAAGUGUCAUUGUAACAAUUCUCAUAAUUUGCAAUCUAUAUUAUUAAAUGAGUAGUCGAAAGUGCUCACAUUCAAUCUCACAAAAAUAUUACUAAGUUACCCUUAAUGAAAAAUACCCCUAAUUGUAAUCUUUUCCUUAAUCCUUAAUUUAUUAAAACAAAAAAAAUUAAAAUCGGCUCUUUGCAAGACUAAAUCGAAAAAUUAGGUCAGACCGGGUUACUGUUUAACCUUUAAUGAAAAAAU
RNAcentral lists this long non-coding RNA (488 nucleotides) under Capsella rubella. RNAcentral describes it as "long non-coding RNA (CRUB_LNC002143)". The record is from RNAcentral. Lineage: Eukaryota; Viridiplantae; Streptophyta; Magnoliopsida; Brassicales; Brassicaceae.